Molecule: transfer RNA, 74 nt
Filed under: Tursiops truncatus (common bottlenose dolphin)
Lineage: Eukaryota; Metazoa; Chordata; Mammalia; Artiodactyla; Delphinidae
Description: tRNA-Tyr (GTA) (tRNA-Tyr-GTA-13-1)
Source: RNAcentral
UCCUUGGUGGUCCAGUGGAUUAGGACUUGGCACUGUAACUGCCAGGGGCCGGGAUUCGAUCCCUGGUUAGGGAA